Molecule: long non-coding RNA, 1182 nt
Filed under: Homo sapiens (human)
Lineage: Eukaryota; Metazoa; Chordata; Mammalia; Primates; Hominidae
Description: non-protein coding lnc-CREM-5:1
Source: RNAcentral
UAAUUACUCUGUCAUUCCAAUUAGGUAGUCAUAUCAAUUUUGUAAUGUUCUUUCUAUCAUUUUUGUGUCCUUGUAAACUUCAUUUGAACAGCUAUUUUAAGAAGCUGCUUCAAAUAAUUUUUUGGAAAUAAGGUGGUCUUAACUCAUAGAGGGUCACAAUGACCAAUUUGUUAAGUAUGAAAUAUAAAGCACAGAGUUUCUUGUCAUAUUUUGAAUAAUUUCUUCUGAUACCCCUUAUAGAAAUCAUCAUAUUGGCUUCAAGUAUAUGUGAAUAAUAUGAGAUGAGAUACAAGUAAACAUCUAAUCCAGUGCUGACCACAGAAGAGGCACUUCAUAAACACUCAAUACGAUGAAGAAUAAGGACAUCUAGGGAGAGACAUAGAGUGGGUCAUUAGAAACCCAUGCCUGCAGCUCAGGAGAGAAGUGAAACUGAAGAUAUAGCUUUGGCAGUCAUCGACAUAUACACAAGUGUAAUGUAAGUCAUGGAAGUGGAUGAAAUCACAGUGAUAGAAUAUGGAGAAGAGGGCUGGAGAUAUAUGAUAAACCCAACCAACAACAUUCUUAGAAAAUAACGAUUUUUACUUUUCAUUGUAGUUGAGUCACAGCAAGAGAGAAGCAAAAAAGAAGCCUGGCUUGCUCAUGAAGUCGGGAUCUCGUGGGAUGUUACAAUGUGCUGGGUUUGAGAGCAGUAUGUGAGGUGACGUGCCGGACUCUGCCGCAAAAGAUUCAUUGCUGGGAGCAGGUGGGAGACCUGAAUCUCGCUGCUCCCUCCAGCUGGGCCUCAGGCUUGGGGAAUACCUGGGCUAUGGCAGGUGAAUCUGCUUUGCUGGUGAACAGUCUUCUCAGGGGCUGCCAAUCCAAUUACUUCUAUGAGUGCUAAGGUUUCACUAGUUACAAAAAACUCUAAAGUAAAUUAAAAAUUUGUUUAAAUUCAUAAAAUAUGACAGCUCUAAAGUAUUAUCAUAAUUAUCCUCUCCAAGUCCAUCUCUAAGACUAACCUUCCUACUUCCUCAAUGUGAGAUGAAUACCUGCUGUCACAUACAUGUUUUGUCCCUUCUAUAGUCUGGCUAGAUUUCUCAUGAAAAGAGGGAAAGAAAUUGUAUCCUUCUCUUGACCAAGUUCACCAUAUCCUCAGGAUUUCUUUGCAGAUGAACUAUUUAGUUAAUGCAGUUUCUAAGGCCC